GGCCAAAUGGUCUAGAGGUAUGAUUCUUCCUUUGGGUGGAAGAGGCCCUGGGUUCGAUUCCCAGUUUGGCCC
Molecule: transfer RNA, 72 nt
Filed under: Clonostachys rosea
Lineage: Eukaryota; Fungi; Ascomycota; Sordariomycetes; Hypocreales; Bionectriaceae
Rfam family: tRNA
About the family: Transfer RNA (tRNA) molecules are approximately 80 nucleotides in length. Their secondary structure includes four short double-helical elements and three loops (D, anti-codon, and T loops).
Source: RNAcentral